AUGGUGACGAGCGGCUAUGUGCAGUGGCAGGAGUACUCGAGGCCGGACAUGCUGGUGAUGUGCGGCCGAGGCUUUGGCGACGCAGCAUAUGUCGUUAAGGCGGAAGAGGUAAGAGAAGGAAUACCAGGCAGGCAGCAGCAGUGGCGCCCGUCCGCCGUUGUCCGGCACCGGAGCCGCGGAUGCUAUGGAUCCUCCCCGGAAGCGGCGCUCCGGCCUUCCUCCUCGUCACCAGCGAACCCCGUCUCGCCGAACGCCUCCGGAUCUGCCUCCCCAGCCCCUGCCGCACACGAAUCCGUCCCCUCCAAGCCCCGGACGCCGCCUUCGUUCUGCAUCGAGCAGCCACGCCGCCUCCAGCCGCUCGAGGAGCGCGCCGCCUGCCGGCGCGAGACUCGCGGUGCAACACUCCCCUCCCCCCUCAGGCAGUCCGGUGCGCGGCGGCAGGGUAGGGGGUGGCGGCUCACCGGAGGUGGAGACGGGAUUGGGAGGAGAGAAUGGAGAAGGAGAAGGAGAGAAUGGAGAAGGAGAAGAUUUCUCGAAAAAACAAAAAGGAGAAGGAGAAAGAAGUGA
Molecule: ribosomal RNA, 567 nt
Filed under: Triticum aestivum (bread wheat)
Lineage: Eukaryota; Viridiplantae; Streptophyta; Magnoliopsida; Poales; Poaceae
Description: partial small subunit ribosomal RNA
Source: RNAcentral